This 253-nucleotide ribosomal RNA is filed under the name uncultured bacterium. Its description in RNAcentral is "partial 16S ribosomal RNA". It matches the Rfam family "Bacterial small subunit ribosomal RNA", at positions 524 to 776 of the family's 1533-position model. The record is from RNAcentral.
UACGUAGGGUGCAGGCGUUAAUCGGAAUUACUGGGCGUAAAGCGUGCGCAGGCGGUCUUUUAAGUCAGAUGUGAAAUCCCCGGGCUUAACCUGGGAACUGCGUUUGAAACUGGAAGGCUAGAGUGUGGCAGAGGGGGGUGGAAUUCCACAUGUAGCAGUGAAAUGCGUAGAGAUGUGGAGGAACACCGAUGGCGAAGGCAGCCCCCUGGGCUAACACUGACGCUCAUGCACGAAAGCGUGGGGAGCAAACAGG